UACGUAGGGGGCAAGCGUUGUCCGGAUUUAUUGGGCGUAAAGAGCGUGUAGGCGGUUUGGUAGGUCCGCUGUGAAAACUCGAGGCUCAACCUCGAGACGCCGGUGGAAACCAUCAGACUAGAGUCCGGAAGAGGAGAGUGGAAUUCCCGGUGUAGUGGUGGAAUGCGUAGAUAUCGGGAGGAACACCAGUGGCGAAGGCGGUUGCCUGGGGCUUUGCUGACGCUGAGGCGCGAAAGCGUGGGGAGCGAUCCGG
This 253-nucleotide ribosomal RNA is filed under the name uncultured bacterium. RNAcentral describes it as "partial 16S ribosomal RNA". It matches the Rfam family "Bacterial small subunit ribosomal RNA", at positions 524 to 776 of the family's 1533-position model. The record is from RNAcentral.